UAAAGUGGCGAACGGCUGAGUAACACGUGGGCAACCUGCCCUUUGCACUGGGAUAGCCUCGGGAAACCGAGGUUAAUACCGGAUACUCCAUAUUUGUCGCAUGGCGAAUAUGGGAAAGCUCCGGCGGCAAAGGAUGGGCCCGCGGCCUGUUAGCUAGUUGGUGGGGUAGUGGCCUACCAAGGCAAUGAUGGGUAGCCGGGUUGAGAGACCGACCGGCCAGAUUGGGACUGAGACACGGCCCAGACUCCUACGGGAGGCAGCAGCG
RNAcentral lists this ribosomal RNA (265 nucleotides) under uncultured Atopobium sp. Its description in RNAcentral is "partial 16S ribosomal RNA". It matches the Rfam family "Bacterial small subunit ribosomal RNA", at positions 91 to 356 of the family's 1533-position model. The record is from RNAcentral. Lineage: Bacteria; Bacillati; Actinomycetota; Coriobacteriia; Coriobacteriales; Atopobiaceae.